This 384-nucleotide ribosomal RNA is filed under the name uncultured eukaryote. RNAcentral's name for it is "partial 18S ribosomal RNA". It matches the Rfam family "Eukaryotic small subunit ribosomal RNA", at positions 592 to 976 of the family's 1831-position model. The record is from RNAcentral.
CAAUAGCGUAUAUUAAAGUUGUUGCAGUUAAAAAGCUCGUAGUUGGAUUUCUGGUAGGAGUGACCGUUCCGAACUUGAUUGUUCGUGUAUUGUGUUUUCUCCAGCCAUCCUUGUGGAGAACUUUUCUUGCAUUAAUUUGUAGGGAUUGGGACCCGCAUCGUUUACUGUGAAAAAAAUUAGAGUGUUUAAAGCAGGCAAUCGCUUGAAUACAUUAGCAUGGAAUAAUAAGAUAGGACUUUGGUACUAUUUUGUUGGUUUGCAUACCAAAUUAAUGAUCAACAGGAACAGUUUGAGGAUAUUCGUAUGAACAUGUCAGAGGUGAAAUUCUUGGAUUUUGAUCAGACGAACUACUGCGAAAGCAUUUAUCAAGGAUGUUUUCAUUAA